Molecule: long non-coding RNA, 526 nt
Organism: Octopus bimaculoides (California two-spot octopus)
Lineage: Eukaryota; Metazoa; Mollusca; Cephalopoda; Octopoda; Octopodidae
Source: RefSeq, a predicted model, not a curated record
CAUUGAUUUAUAAGUUUUUAAGCAUUCACUCGCAGCACUUAAACAUUGGUAGACCAGUAAAUGACAGCACCAUGAACCGAAUAUUAUUUGACUGCGGCCAUGCUGGAACACCACAUUUAGUCGAACAAAUGGAGCCCAGGACUUAUUCUUUGUCCCCAAAAGUAUAUACUCAAAGCGUGCCAAUUUUCAGAUAAUUGUGAUGUGGCUAAGACAAUUGUCGAAAGAACGAACGGAAGAACGGACAAAACAUUUGAUAAUGGGAGUAAUUCCGUCUUGUCAAAGAGACGACAAGCUGUUAAAUCAUUUCCACAGAACAUAAACGAUCAUUGAAAUCAUUGAUGCGUAAAGUGAGUUUUGUAAGUAAAAACCAGACACGUAAUGCGAGAUUAAGUCACAAAAUUGUAAAAACUCGAAAUAUUACUGAUUAUAUCAAUAACUACCAAUUAUGUAAUAUCAUUAAUAAUCGAGAGAUUGAAUGUAAAAGAUGCUGUUAUAUUUUUAUCUAUAAUGACACUGAGAAAAUAGU